RNAcentral lists this unclassified non-coding RNA (217 nucleotides) under 'Beta vulgaris' phytoplasma. RNAcentral's name for it is "partial 16S-23S ribosomal RNA intergenic spacer". The stretch from base 106 to 179 matches the Rfam family "tRNA". Lineage: Bacteria; Bacillati; Mycoplasmatota; Mollicutes; Acholeplasmatales; Acholeplasmataceae. The record is from RNAcentral.
CUAAGGAAACAAUUAUCAUCUUCAGUUUUGAGAGACUUAAGAAAGUUUUUCAUUGUCACUUGCUUGCAAAUUGUAUUUGCAACAUUUUAAUCUUUUUAAGAUUAAGGGCCUAUAGCUCAGUUGGUUAGAGCACACGCCUGAUAAGCGUGAGGUCGGUGGUUCAAGUCCAUUUAGGCCCACCAUAACCACAAAUAGGCAAAAUCUUAAAAAAGCUCUU